Molecule: unclassified non-coding RNA, 578 nt
Filed under: Melitaea cinxia (Glanville fritillary)
Lineage: Eukaryota; Metazoa; Arthropoda; Insecta; Lepidoptera; Nymphalidae
Description: misc RNA ENSMCXG00005011355.1
Source: RNAcentral
UGACGCUAGCACAGAUUUGACAUUUGUACCAAAUAUUUGUAGAGUUCAUUUGUGUUUGUAUUCUGUGUGUUUCUUAUUCGGGGCCGCUGUGUGAGAAAAUAUUUGCCGGAAACACAAUAUGACAAGAACUUGUAUGAACUAUACAAACAUUUAUCAUGGACGGAAGUCAUAACCGUUAACCAGCAGCCACUAGUGGCCACUGUCAACAGGUUGAACUGCGGUCGCCGUGGCGGCGGUCAGAGUAGCAAAAGUGGAGCAAGCAGUCUAGCUUCUAAAUAAAGUUAAAAAUAUACAUUGGGAGUUUGAGACCAGCGCUGAAAUCAGGUUUACCAAAAGAAAACAAAUGUGCAAGUGCAUUAUCGUGUUGUUUUUAAUUUUAGCGCACACAAACACGUAAGUGUUACUUAGUAUAUUUUUUUCAUAUUGGCAGCCAUCUUGAAAGACAUUAAAUUUAACUAGCAUUAGUAUAAUUUUGCGUAUAAAGUGUCCAGUUUUGUCUGGAAACCACAAAAAUUUAAGCGAAGCCUAAUAGAAAAUGCUUCAAACGUUUUUUAUUAGAAAACAACAAUAGAAAUACA